Molecule: transfer RNA, 71 nt
Filed under: Marmota monax (woodchuck)
Lineage: Eukaryota; Metazoa; Chordata; Mammalia; Rodentia; Sciuridae
Description: tRNA.Ala
Rfam family: tRNA
About the family: Transfer RNA (tRNA) molecules are approximately 80 nucleotides in length. Their secondary structure includes four short double-helical elements and three loops (D, anti-codon, and T loops).
Source: RNAcentral
GGGGUUGUGGCUCAGCGGUAGAGCACUUGCCUAGCAUGUAUGAAGCACUGGGUUCGAUCCUCAGCACCACA